AUAAUAUAAUGACCACAAAACAUACAAUGCAAACAAACUGGCCUAAUUAUGUGAGUAUAAAUGUACUAUUUGGACAGUGGCAUGUUAUUUUGCAACCAAAGUUUUGAGUAAAAUGAGAGCUUUAACAUUCUUGACUAUUCUGACAUUGACGGUACUGUUAGUGGUGGAGCAAUCGGAAUCAACACGGAAUGUUUGUCCACAGAUAAUGUGUCCUAACGAUCAUAAAAUUCCGAAAAAAUGCAGACAACCAAAUUUUAUAGUUGGUAUAGACGGCAAGACCCAGUGUCGAGUAUGCGAUUCCAAUGGCUGUGCAAGAAGUUAACGUAGAAAAGGCGAUCAAUGGAACAUAAUUUUUUGUUUUCUGUAUUCAGAAUGUACACUGCUGCUUAAGACAAAUAGAAUAUGAAAUAAAC
Ruditapes philippinarum (Manila clam) is the source of this 413-nucleotide long non-coding RNA. RefSeq lists it as uncharacterized. NCBI's taxonomy places the organism in Eukaryota, Metazoa, Mollusca, Bivalvia, Venerida, Veneridae. The transcript has 3 exons. The record is from RefSeq and is a predicted model, not a curated record.